GAACAUUCUAUUAUCACUCUCAUUUGAGAGAGGUUCAUUUACACUUCGAAAAACAUCUUUCAAGGCUGAUCAUCUCAUGACGAACCGUGAGCAGGUAUAAAAACUUGCACAACUAGUGAAAAUUGAAGUUAAAUUAAAACAUAUUGUUUUAUGAAAGCGCCACAAGAACAUUAGAAUACAACAUGGUGGUGAUAAUUCGACUUACGCUCCCAACUGCAGUGAUUUUAUGGUGCUUUAUUUACAUUUUGUGGAAAACGCUAACGACAUAUUAUCAGUGAUCAGCAAAAAUGGGCAAAAGCAGCUCUAAACCAAAAAUAACCACGAGUGGCACCAACAUAGAAAUAAACAAUGUACUCGAACAACACCAAGAAUUACAUGAGAGCCACGAAUUCAAGCUAUGGUAAAAUCUUGUGCUAGUAUCGAUACAAGUGUUGGUUUUGUGUAAUAAAGAAUUAAAACUACAAAGCCGCAGAAACGCUUUGAAAGCGACAUGGAGCGGCCUAGGGAGGAUAACGACAACGAGAAGUAUCAACAUUUCAACACUGAUGCCGUAAGCAAACGACUUGUUCAUCGACGUUAACGUCUAUGUUCAGUUCAACAGGUGAGCCAGUGAUCGCCUUCGAGUUGAAAAGCAAAGUUCUCCCAUGACAUUAAGUUAACGCUAUAAUUUUUAUGCUUUAUCGUUAACUAAUUUGUAAUUAUAACUGUAAUUAUAACGAGACAAAAAUUUCGAAGUUAUGUUUUGUGGUAGAUACGAAUCGCCAAUAUUAAGUUUAAUUUUAGUGAUUAUUAAAAUUUUGGGCGAAUUUCCAAUAUCUAGUUCAAGUGGUGUAAAUGUGUAAAACUUAUUUAUAGUUUAUAAAAUAAACCAAAUUCAAUUUAUAAAUUUAGAAGAAGUAAGGAAUUAUUUGAAACUGAAAAUAGCAGAAUUGAACUCUAUUUUGUCAAAUUUUUCAAAAGCAGGUUAAAGGUCGGCUAAAGGGUGCUGCUCGUCAGGUCAUUGCUGAAACCAACGACUUAAAAUACAUUUUAAACGCAGUAAAACAACACUGCGAACCGAAAAUAACUUCUGAUAAUAUUAUUGUCAAACUCAAAGCCGUGAAACAGAAAGAAUCAGCGGAAUCGUUUUGUAAUGAAGCGUCAGGGUACAAAUCCCCGUAGAUAGAGCAAAUAUUAUGGCAACCAAAAAGGGCGUGGAUGCACUUAUUGAUGGAACCAGAAACAACGAUACUAAAAUUAUCUUAAAAGCUGGGACCUUACGAAGAUUACUGAUGCAGUACAAAAACUAAUGGAAAACGAUAAACCCAUCCCAGCACAAAUUCGAACGGAAGGUGUUGCGUACCAUCUACGGCGGAGUGCAGAUGGAAGACGGGACUUGGAGAAGGCGAAUGAACCACGAGCUGCAUCAGCUGCUGGGAGAACCAACCAUCGUCCAUACCGCGAAAAUCGGGAGGCUACGGUGGACGGGUCACGUCAUCAGGAUGUCGGAUAGCAACCCGACUAAAAUGGUUCUCGAGAGUCAUCCGACCGGUACAAGAAGACGUGGAGCGCAGCGAGCUAGGUGGGUCGACCAAGUGGAGGACGAUCUGCGGACCCUACGCAGAGUGCGGAACUGGAGACAAACAGCCAUGGACCGAGUGGAAUGGAGGCGGCUACUAUGUACAGCAGAGGCCACCCCGGCCUUAGCCUGACCGGUAAGGUAAGGUAUCCCAGCACAAAUGUUCACAAUUAGUAGUACUCAUCAAAACAGCCGUAUCCAAAAAAGGUUUUCACAGGAAUAAUUUUAAUCGAGGAAACUACAGCGGUUAUCGUGGAAAUUUCCAUGGAAGAGCAAAUUAUAAUGGACGAAGACCUUACCUUCAGUGCCUUCUCCAAAAGUCACACGUUACAUGGCGAACCGUCGACAGUCGUGAUGGUAAUCGGUUGAAUUUUAUAAGUGCAAAUUGAAUUGUGAGCUACUGAGCUAAGUGAAACCCACAGUUCAAGUGCAAGUGUUAAUAAUUGUGAUAAAACAACCAAACAAGCACCACUGAAAAUGUCGUGGUUAUUUGAUGAUAUAUACGUGCAGCAGUCGAUAAAUACUGUGGAAAACAAAAUUAUCGCCGGUGUAGCAGUGAGACUAUUAGCUUUAGCCGUAGUGUACGGAGCAUUACGACCCCAUGGCAAAUUUAUAAAAGCCAAAAUAGAGCGCACCACGCGUAAAGAAGUGCGAUUGAAGAAUUCGGUGGUACAAUUUGUUCACGAAGCUGACGAAUGUGCCUAGAUAAAAACAAUCCUGAACUAAGGAGGAUAGAAGUGUUUCAAAAAAGAACUUUCCAGCAUCAAGCUGAACAGUGUUUAAAAAAGGGUAACUAUCCAAAAGCAGAAUGCAGUGUGCAGUAGCAGUAGCGAUCCAUAUUUAGCAGCGGAAACUUCAACUCCAAAUAGUCCAGUAUCCCAAUAACAACCACAUUCGGGACAAUAGUGUUGUUUUCGAUGUUAUAAAAAAUUAACAUUUUUUUCAAAACAUAUCGUGAUGCAAGAUGAAUCGUCAUUCUCGUUCGAUAGAUUAGAAGAUAUGGAGUUGUAAUAUGAAAAGCAAUGUAGAACUAAAAUUUGGAAUAAACGACAGAUUUAUUACAACCAUCCAAGAGAAUUUUGGAAUAUUCCAAAAGACUAAAAUCGUGUCUUUACAUGGCGACCGUGACAGGACCGGUACCUGAAAGGAAGUUAAUUUAUUGCGUUACCGACGAUUAGCAUCCGUGAGUUAAAAAAAAAGUGAAAAGAGAGAAAUGGGAAAAACUUCCUAAAAACCUACAGUGGUGCAUCACGCAGACCCUCAGAUUAGAAUACUGGCGUACUGGCAUGAAGAGCUUCAAUGAAAGAAUCUCCAAUGAAGGUGAUGCUUAUGAUCAGAUAACAAUUUUUCUAGAAAAUCAUCAGCAGUAUCACGAAGAACACGCUUUAAAGUUGUGGGUGAUUCUGGCAAUGGUGACUUUACAAACGGUUAUUGUGGCGUACAAAGUGAUAAAAAAGAACAAUCGAUAAAAUGCACUAAAAGUGGCACUAGACCUGAAAACGUGUAAACAAUUGAGAAAUUCUGACUAAAGGGAAUAACAGCAGAAUAUAAGCUACACACAGGAUAUUGUUUGCGUGGGAACCUAAAAAAUAGUACUAAAAAUCGUAAACAGCAUGAUUUGUGCGAAAACCUGAAAAAAAUACUAAAAAUGGUAAACAGCAAUGGUUUGUGCGCGAAUAGCUGAAACAGAAAAAAGUUGUCUAACGAAAUCGGUAACAUGAGCUCAGGCUGUAUUACAGUCGUUGAAAGCGGACCGGAUGUGAUGAGAGGUAAUUACCAAGAACUUAAAAAUAUUUACAGUGACAUUAAAUCAGAAGUCUUUAAGUCGUUGUUCGCGCACAACGCGAACGGUGUGCAGCGUUUCAAACCUGGUGUGUACAACCGAGAGAAUUGCCCUCGUCAUCUAGUGUCCGUGAUCGGACUUUUUUUUUGUUCUUCGCCUCGCUGGCUAUUGGCAGAAGCGCGAAAAGGGCGCCAACCAAUCAGCGUGUGACACUUGGCGCGUCGGUCGGCUGGCAUGUCGAUGGAGAGCUCAUGUCGGAUUUGAUGGUAGUCCACACAAUCAACCGCGACAAAUGCUGUAAGUGGAUUAAAUUUUAUUCGGAUCUCCUCUCAAAGAAGAUCGCGGCCGGGGACUCCGGGAGAACGGAUCGUCAAAUUAUGGAAUACCAGGACUACGAUACCUAUUUGAACGCAACACCGAGCGCUGCGAUAUCUCGAUGGCGGCGGGCCACGCACUUCAGUUCUGGUCCUGGUAUUCCGGCGCCGAAGCUGUGGAAAAAGACAAAGUGUUUGCUACGUACCAUGGAGUGUUCAGCUACGCAGAGAUUAAUGGGGAGAAAGUACUCCCUGAAACCCUCUGCCCUCAGCCGGGAGAUGAGGCCAGUAGUUCUGCUAGCCUUGCCAACCUAAAGAAUGUGGCCUCCGGAAAAUCGGCUGCUGUUAUCCCCCCAGCAUCCUGGGAAUUUUUGAGCAAGAAAGGGAGCGUUCCGACGGCGUCGGCUCAGGUCGAAGUCCGCCAGGUAGUCCACACAAUCAACCGCGACGAAUGCUGUAAGUGGAUUAAAUUUUAUUCGGAUCUCCUCUCAAAGAAGAUCGCGGCCGGGGACUGUGGGAGAACGGAUCGUCAAAAUAUGGCUAUGGCCAUUAAUCACACUGCCUUCGUUAUGGGAAAUUGCUUACGGCUCAUGACAAAAAAAGAAUUCGAUGUCGCUAACCAUAUUCAACGAACCACCAAAGAGCGACUUCACAACCUAUUUGGGCCAUCUAGCACAGAAAUGCUUGCUGCAGAGGUCUUUGCUCCGCCACACUACCGAUUCACGCUUUUGAGCUUUUCAGCUUUUAAAGGAUAUAUAACGCUGGCCAAGCAACUGGCUAUUCUAUUCAUAGAAGGGUUUACCUCUUCUCCCAGUGAAUCUGUCUCCGGCUUCUGAAAGGCCGCAUGUGUACUGUCUCUAUCAUAUACAGGAUUGGGAGCCAUAGGUUGGUUCGUCAAAGCACAUGAGAAAUUCCUCAUGUCAGGAAAAGAUUUUCUCAAGAAGAUCUCGAUCCCUGCUUUAGGCCCUUUCAUCGUCGAAUACGUCCACUUGGCAGAACGGCCUAAUAAGAAGUGGAUUUUUUGUAGGCUCUUAAGCGACACUGCUCUCGCGAACCUAUCUUCCACGGCGAUGCCGAUCGCUACCUGCUUGUUUGUGGCCUUAUCGGCUUCAAACACCUCUCUGACCGACGAGCUCUGGGACAUAGUAUCAUUGUCCAGAAUCUCAAAGAUCGACAUGGCAACGGGUUUUGCCAUGGCCGAGAUCUUUUUAAGGACCCGAACAGAAGAUGGUUGGGCGGAAUCCUUAGAUGCACAAUCCAACGCCUUCCAGCAGAAACUCAAGGCCGAAGGAAUGAACUUCCUGACCAAUGCAAGAAAAGCUUUGCUUGACAAGGCCAAGGCUGCAACUACCGGUGUGUUGCAUCAGCAAUUCUGCCCUUAGCUACAAGAAAUAGAACGGAUGCACAUAGCCAGGUCAGCAAGUCCGGCAGCCACCGAUGUCACCAAGUGGACGGACCCAUCGACGGACCUAAGGAAAACACCUCAACAAGUUUAUGCCAAGCAACAGCGACACGGCUAUCAUUUCCUCUAUUUUUAAUAAUAAGCAUUUUUUUGGUAGGUUUCGUUUAACUUGAAUAUCAAUAAAGAUUAUUUACCUUUUCGGACGUCGUAACGAGUAGUCUAAACUUUUUAUAAAACCUGGACUGGGUGAAUUAUCGCUUUUCUUUUAGUUUCUCAGUUUGAUUAGUAACAAUAACCAUCUAGCGCAGCCCAAAUAAAGACUAAGUUCAAAGUUUAUUCCAAGGUGUAAUCAGUAAUCCGAAUUCCGGACUAAGCUCAAUCAAGUGGAAAUAUCUCUCACUUGAUCGGAGAACCCAGUAACCCCUGCCAGAGACAUUUUGGUGGCUACAGAGAGGACUUUGGAGGGUGUCUUGUCAACCGUCGAGUGGAAAACGAUCUCCCUAACCGGAGACCUAAGUAGCACAAGCCGAUUUUUGAGCGGGACAUCCCGGAGCAUUGAACAUCUAGUCAGUCGAAAUUUGACUGUGGAAAUAAAUCCAAGUAAAGCCAGUGAGGAGGUCAUAAAGUGAAAAAGUGGGCCCAGUGCCAUAAUAUUAACAGAAACACUCUGGAGGACGAGAUAAGAUACUUGGUAGCAUGGUGAGCUUAUACUUAAUUGGUAACAGUCCAAUUCAUUAUAAUCUCUUUUUCCUUUGUCAGUAAAUCUUUUUGGAGGUUCACAAAGUCAGAAUGGGUAACGACCCUAUGACAAGUACUUCCAUAGCAGCGAAACGCAUUCAACGAUCGCCGCCCGUGGUCAGCACAAUUUGUGUCGCCACCCGGGCAAUCACCUAUCAGCAGCGUCAUCAACAAAAAUGCCCCCAGUAAACAGGCAAGGAAGCCUAGCUGGGUGGCGCAGCCUAGAUCGAUCGUCAUUAUCGACCAAGCAACAAACCGUACAGUAACUUCAAAAUGUGGCCCUUCAGAGAAGACGAAAGCAACAACGUUCAACAUAUAUUUUGGCAGCAUCACGUACCACGACGUGAUAUCUUACUCAAUGGAUGGCGGCUUCAUCCUGGUGGCGGUCAUCAUCAUCAUCGUGUGGCGUUGGCGACGCAACAUGAGCCGCAUCCGGUCGCUGGAGGCAGCGACCAGGCGAAAUAACUUGGGCGUCUGAGCGGGCGUCAUCCGACGCCGCGUCAAACGCUAAGUCAGCAGUUUAGGUGCUCCAGCCCGGAGCGAGACCUGCAGCGAUGCACCCGGCACCAAAGUGAAUUUGAACAAACUCUCAGGUAUCAGUAGGUCGGCUCUAGAGGCACGUUCUCCUCCAUUCGGGAAAUUUGUGCCACAAACUCUGUCAAGAGAAAAGCAUAAUACAUUUAUUCAGUUUCCAACAGUUGACCCGUGAUGUCGACUACUCAAUCGAAAGAAAAUCCCGAUAUUUUCGCGUUCGAGGUUUCUGUCCAAGUCGGCAUGUCGCGGUUUCUUUAAAGUAAGUGUUUAGCUCAGGAGCAAGUGCAAAAAAAGAAAGAAAAUGUUUUGCGCCCUCCCACUUUUGAUUUUGCAAAAUAAGUGCGGAUGAUGUUGACGUGGAAGCUACUCCAGCGAAAAGGGCCAAAAUCAUUCUUGUAAAUGAAGACAGAACCGAAGCGGUACCAAGCGGACAAGAAAUUAGACCUGGUGGCUCGGAAGCUCAUUCAUCACCUCCACGAAGCGUUCUUGAGGGCCUUCGACCUCAAACCUCAAGACCGGCUGGACCUGGAUACCACGACUUUGUAAGUGUCUUUGACUUUGUACCACGACUUUCGUGUAAGUUCUUUCUUUUCGGUCACAAAGCCUUCUCCGGCACCAUGCCAAGAUUUGGUGACCUUGAACAGUGAGCCCGAGUGAAAACCCAAAAGUGUCUAACGAUUUUAGACCGGUGAAAAGUGUAACGAUUUUAGAAAAGUUACUAAGUGUGAGUCAGUUCAGUAAAGAACUUUCAUGUUCAGUGCCAUAAUUAUGAGCUGGUUUUCAGACACCAUUAUCAACGAGACUGAAGUAAGCCUAAGCACGACGGAGGCGAGAAUCAUCGCCGGCAACAUCGUCUUUAUUGCACUCGCGAAAGCAAAAAUGCAGCAGACGGCGCAGCGAGAAAUUCGCUUAAACAACGUGAACAGCCAACAGUAAGGAAAUCCGUGAAAUCAACUGAAGAUCUAGUGUUAAAGUGCAAAUGCACAAAGAAAAAAAAAAAUACAAAUCGAUAUCAACUGCAGGCGAGACCACUGCCGAUAACCAUCGGCAGGCGGGUUUGAAGGACGAAAUAGUAGUGGAGGAUGCGAUUCGACGACGAGAGUACCUACCAGGUCGCCGAUGUUCAAAGCAAAAAAAAAACGUAAGUGGAGUGCAAUAAUUUUAGUACCCUAAUUAAUGGAAGCAAUAGAGGCCAACAUCGAACAUUUGAGGAAAAUAGAAAACAAUUUCAAAAAGGUCCCCAAUAAAAGCUAUUCAAAACCAUUUCUAAAUCAAAAGUUAGACCGAGGUAGAGAGUUAAGGAACAUAAUUGUAGACGAUCUUGCUACCCUAGAGGAUGUUUUAUCUCAAAAAUACGUAGAGAGCUUAUAGUAAACAUUUUUUAAUACAUAAAAGACAGCAAACUGCUAAGAUUAAUAAUUCAAUAACCAACUUGCAUCAUCAGUAUGAAUAUAAAAAUUCUACUUCUCAUUUUAUUUAAAAAGGGUGCAAGACAAAAGUAUGAUAGUAUCAUUAUCAUUAUUAAUCAAAAACUAGAAUUUGCUGCAAAUUCUAUUUCAAGUAUAAAACUUGUAGCUUUAGCAAUUCUUUUUUUAUUUGAAACUAAAAUCUAAACUGAUAAAGAAAAACAUGGCAACGCAACUAGAUUUGAUUAAGGUUAUCUCAACCUUAGUGCCCCAGUAUGAAGGAGUAAGUGGAAAACUAACAUGUGUUCUGGAUGCAUUACGUGCAGGUAACUUUUUAAUAACAGAUGCAACCACACAAAUGAGCAUUCGAGUAAUUUUAGCAAGGUUUUCAGACAAAGGCAGAAAUGCAAAAGGACAGAGUCCACGAACUGCUCAAGCAAUAAUUGACGCCCUUGAACAAAGAUGCAAAUCUACAGAAACACCUGACAUAAUCAUAGCUAAUUGAUCGCCAUGAAACAGCAAGAAGAAAUAUCAAAAUUUACUGAAUGUGUAGAAAAAAAUACUACACAGCUGGAGAACGCUUAUACUAGUGACAAUAUUCCAGCCGAAACAGCUGCAAAAAUGGUCGUCUCAGCAGGAGCCACAUCGAUUUUGGUAUUGAGCAUGCCGUUAAGCAUACGCAUAUUACAUGGCGACCGUGACAGAGUGAACUAAUUUGUGAU
This is a long non-coding RNA of Aedes albopictus (Asian tiger mosquito), 8457 nucleotides long. RefSeq lists it as uncharacterized. Lineage: Eukaryota; Metazoa; Arthropoda; Insecta; Diptera; Culicidae. The record is from RefSeq and is a predicted model, not a curated record. The transcript is spliced from 2 exons.